This 405-nucleotide ribosomal RNA is filed under the name uncultured Bauldia sp. Its description in RNAcentral is "bacterial SSU rRNA". It matches the Rfam family "Bacterial small subunit ribosomal RNA", at positions 355 to 776 of the family's 1533-position model. The record is from RNAcentral. Lineage: Bacteria; Pseudomonadati; Pseudomonadota; Alphaproteobacteria; Hyphomicrobiales; Kaistiaceae.
UGGGGAAUAUUGGACAAUGGGCGCAAGCCUGAUCCAGCCAUGCCGCGUGAGUGAUGAAGGCCCUAGGGUUGUAAAGCUCUUUCGACGGGGACGAUAAUGACGGUACCCGUAGAAGAAGCCCCGGCUAACUUCGUGCCAGCAGCCGCGGUAAUACGAAGGGGGCUAGCGUUGUUCGGAAUCACUGGGCGUAAAGCGCACGUAGGCGGAUCGUUAAGUCGAGGGUGAAAUCCCAGGGCUCAACCCUGGAACUGCCUUCGAUACUGGCGAUCUUCGAGUCCGGGAGAGGUGAGUGGAACUCCGAGUGUAGAGGUGAAAUUCGUAGAUAUUCGGAAGAACACCAGUGGCGAAGGCGGCUCACUGGCCCGGUACUGACGCUGAGGUGCGAAAGCGUGGGGAGCAAACAGG